GAUUCCCUGAGUAACGGCGAGCGAAAGGGGAGCCGUCCAGCGCCAAGUCUCGGCACGUCGGUGUCGAGAGAUGCGGCGUUGAUGUGGUGGCGCAUCGCGCACUGCCCGGUGUUUCAAGUUCGCUUGACAGCGACAUCCAGAGCGGGUGCUAGGCCCAUAGAGACACUGGUCCGGUGUGCGCCGGCCACCACAUUCUAGAGUCAGGUUGCUUGAGAGUGCAGCUUAAAGUGGGUGGUAAACUCCAUCGAAGACUAAAUAUCACAGCGAGACCGAUAGCAAACAAGUACCGUGAGGGAAAGUUGCAAAGCACUUUGAAGAGAGAGUUCAACAGGACGUGAAACCACUGGUGGGCAAACAGAUGGAACCACGAAUGUGCGCCCCGGUCGAUUCAAUCGCCAUCGGGGGCCAGGCUGGUCGUCGMGGGUCUCCUCGGAGGCUGCGACGGCCGGACGACGGGCCUCCGAUAACGAUGCAUUUCGUGCCGGGGAUGCUAAGCCACGUUCGACCAGAGUUGGAACGGCCGUAGGAUGGGGCCUGGGGAAGGUGGCCGGCAGGUGCUUGCACCAGUCGGUGUUACAGACCCGGGUCGGAACCGUUGCCAAACAGACUGGUMGAUGCAAAUUCUCCCUCGGGAGUGGAACUGCCACUGCCUGUGGUGGGUAGUCGGGACGGUYUGGUGUUUUUGCUGUGCUUAGUUGUGCAACAAAGCACCGGAUGCGUACCGGCUAGUCGCUGCUUGCGUGUGGCAGUGGAACUGUGGUGCGAGUAGGUCGGUGUCCAUCUGACCCGUCUUGAAACACGGACCAAGGAGCCUAUCAUAUACGCGAGUCGCUCGGUCUUGAUGAGGCCCGGACGGCGGAAUGAAAGUGAGCUGCUACGAGACCUCGGUCGCAGUAGCGGUACGCCUACUUCGUUUAUUGGCGAUCAGGCGUAACCGGAGCGUAUACGAUGGUACCCGAAAGAUGGUGAACUAUGCCUGGGCAAGACGAAGCCAGAGGAAACUCUGGUGGAGGUCUGUAGCGAUUCUGACGUGCAAAUCGAUCGUCAGACCUGGGUAUAGGGGCGAAAGACUAAUCGAACCAUCUAGUAGCUGGUUCCCUCCGAAGUUUCCCUCAGGAUAGCAGGCGCUUGUGUGUGUCAGUGUCAUCCGGUAAAGCUAAUGAUUAGAGGUCUUGGGGUUGAAACGACCUCAACCUAUUCUCAAACUUUAAAUGGGUGAGAUGGUUGACUUUCUUGAUUGAAGCCAACCACGGGGAUGUGAGUGCCUAGUGGGCCAUUUUUGGUAAGCAGAACUGGCGCUGUGGGAUGAACCAAACGCCGAGAUAAGGAAUCGAAUGCGCACGCUCAUGAGACCCCAUGAAAGGUGUUGGUUGCUAUAGACAGCAGGACGGUGGCCAUGGAAGUCGGAAUCC
Molecule: ribosomal RNA, 1412 nt
Filed under: Scutulanyssus subis
Lineage: Eukaryota; Metazoa; Arthropoda; Arachnida; Sarcoptiformes; Pteronyssidae
Description: eukaryotic LSU rRNA
Rfam family: Eukaryotic large subunit ribosomal RNA
Source: RNAcentral